RNAcentral lists this transfer RNA (73 nucleotides) under Candidatus Berkelbacteria bacterium. Its description in RNAcentral is "tRNA-Pro". It matches the Rfam family "tRNA". From Rfam's summary of the family: Transfer RNA (tRNA) molecules are approximately 80 nucleotides in length. Their secondary structure includes four short double-helical elements and three loops (D, anti-codon, and T loops). The record is from RNAcentral. Lineage: Bacteria; Candidatus Berkelbacteria.
CGGGGUGUAGCUUAGUUGGUAAAGCGCAUGGCUGGGGGUCAUGAGACCGUGGGUUCAAGUCCCGCCACCCCGA